RNAcentral lists this ribosomal RNA (301 nucleotides) under uncultured bacterium. RNAcentral's name for it is "partial 16S ribosomal RNA". It matches the Rfam family "Bacterial small subunit ribosomal RNA", at positions 509 to 809 of the family's 1533-position model. The record is from RNAcentral.
CAGUAGCCACGGUAAUACGAUGGGGGCUAGCGUUGUUCGGAUUUACUGGGCGUAAAGGGCGCGUAGGCGGACUGAUGAGUCAGGGGUGAAAUCCCAAGGCUCAACCUUGGAACUGCCUUUGAUACUGUUUGUCUUGAGUUCGAGAGAGGUAAGUGGAACUGCGAGUGUAGAGGUGAAAUUCGUAGAUAUUCGCAAGAACACCAGUGGCGAAGGCGACUCUCUGGUCUGUAACAGACGCUGAGGAGCGAAAGCGUGGGGAGCGAACAGGAUUAGAUACCCCCGUAGUCCCUGUCUCUUAUCA